GGAUGUGAGGGCGAUCUGGCUGCGACAUCUGUCACCCCAUUGAUCGCCAGGGUUGAUUCAGCUGAUCUGGCUGGCUAGGCGGGGGUCCCCUUCCUCCCUCACUGCUCCACGUGUGUCCCUCUAGAAGCUCACUCAGUCGAAGAGACAACCUUCCCCGAUAGAGGAGGAGCCUUCUUCGGUCAAGGGUAUAUGAGUAGCUGCGCUCCCCUGCUAGAACCUCCAAACAAGCUCUCAAAAAUGGGUAGUUUUCUGUUACAUCUACUUGUAGCAGGCUUCAAAUGUAGUUUUACUUUUU
Molecule: small nuclear RNA, 295 nt
Filed under: Felis catus (domestic cat)
Lineage: Eukaryota; Metazoa; Chordata; Mammalia; Carnivora; Felidae
Description: 7SK RNA
Rfam family: 7SK RNA
About the family: 7SK was discovered as an abundant small nuclear RNA in the mid-70s but a possible function has only recently been suggested.
Source: Rfam by way of RNAcentral